AUCAACACUACAUUUUCUUUGAUGGGUCUGUCUUUGUCAUAUAUUAUUCGAGGAAUAUUAGCAUCCCUUCCUUCCUGAUAUAAUGGCUCUUCUUUAACCUAAUCAUUUCUAAUUCUUUCCAUUUCUCGCAAUUCUUUUCUCUUUCUUCUUAAUGUUCUCUCAAUAUUUGGAUCAAAAUAAUACUCUUCAAUUGCUGAAAUAUCUCUACUCAUG
RNAcentral lists this long non-coding RNA (213 nucleotides) under Gossypium raimondii (Peruvian cotton). RNAcentral describes it as "long non-coding RNA (GRAI_LNC001328)". The record is from RNAcentral. Lineage: Eukaryota; Viridiplantae; Streptophyta; Magnoliopsida; Malvales; Malvaceae.